RNAcentral lists this ribosomal RNA (496 nucleotides) under uncultured bacterium. RNAcentral's name for it is "partial 16S ribosomal RNA". It matches the Rfam family "Bacterial small subunit ribosomal RNA", at positions 28 to 506 of the family's 1533-position model. The record is from RNAcentral.
GAUGAACGCUGGCGGCGUGCCUAAUACAUGCAAGUCGAGCGAACAGACGAGGAGCUUGCUCCUCUGACGUUAGCGGCGGACGGGUGAGUAACACGUGGAUAACCUACCUAUAAGACUGGGAUAACUUCGGGAAACCGGAGCUAAUACCGGAUAAUAUAUUGAACCGCAUGGUUCAAUAGUGAAAGACGGUUUUGCUGUCACUUAUAGAUGGAUCCGCGCCGCAUUAGCUAGUUGGUAAGGUAACGGCUUACCAAGGCAACGAUGCGUAGCCGACCUGAGAGGGUGAUCGGCCACACUGGAACUGAGACACGGGCCAGACUCCUACGGGAGGCAGCAGUAGGGAAUCUUCCGCAAUGGGCGAAAGCCUGACGGAGCAACGCCGGGUGAGUGAGGAAGGUCUUCGGAUCGUAAAACUCUGUUAUUAGGGAAAAAAAAAUGUGUAAGUAACUAUGCACGUUUUGACGGUACCUAAUCAGAAAGCCCCGGCUAACUACGU